This 253-nucleotide ribosomal RNA is filed under the name uncultured prokaryote. Its description in RNAcentral is "partial 16S ribosomal RNA". It matches the Rfam family "Bacterial small subunit ribosomal RNA", at positions 524 to 776 of the family's 1533-position model. The record is from RNAcentral.
UACGGAGGGUGCAAGCGUUAUCCGGAUUUAUUGGGUUUAAAGGGUCCGUAGGCGGAUCUGUAAGUCAGUGGUGAAAUCUCAUAGCUUAACUAUGAAACUGCCAUUGAUACUGCAGGUCUUGAGUGAGAUUGAGGUAGCUGGAAUAAGUAGUGUAGCGGUGAAAUGCAUAGAUAUCACAAAGAACACCAAUGGCGAAGGCAGCUUGCUGGGCCACACCUGACGCUCAGGCACGAAAGCGUGGGGAGCGAACGGG